CAGAUUAUUCUUUCCUUUUUUGAGGGGAAAGCUGGAUAUAAACUGGCAGUUAAAAAAUUGUAAAGAAAUCAACUUGCUCAUUUUCAUUGUGUAUUUUUGCUCUCAAGCAUUUUCCAUGAACUGUGUGUGGAUUCAUUGUCUGCAUUGGAUAACGAACUCUUGAGUGUUGCUGCUAAGUGUGUCCCCAAGAAAGUGUCAGAGCCUUUAUGUGGACCUUCCCAUGGAAAAGGAAACAGAAUAGUCAAUGGAAAAGGAGAAGGUGAGAAUGGUAUUUUAUUUAAAAAGUUAUUUGUUGGAGGCUGGGUGCGGUGGCUCACGCCUGUAAUCCCAGCACUUUGGGAGGCUGAGGUGGGCAGAUCAUGAGGUCAGGAGAUCGAGACAAUCCUGGCUAACAUGGUGAAACCCCAUC
RNAcentral lists this long non-coding RNA (409 nucleotides) under Pan troglodytes (chimpanzee). RNAcentral describes it as "lncRNA (ENSPTRG00000054299.1)". The record is from RNAcentral. Lineage: Eukaryota; Metazoa; Chordata; Mammalia; Primates; Hominidae.